This 72-nucleotide transfer RNA is filed under the name Sphaerodactylus townsendi. Its description in RNAcentral is "tRNA-Ala". Lineage: Eukaryota; Metazoa; Chordata; Lepidosauria; Squamata; Sphaerodactylidae. The record is from RNAcentral.
GGGGCAAUGGCUCAGUGGAAGAGUAUCUGUUCGGCACACGGAAGGUCCCUGCUUCAAUCCCCAGCAUCUCCA